CAAUAGCGUAUAUUAAAGUUGUUGCGGUUAAAAAGCUCGUAGUUGGAUUUCUGCCGAGGAUGACCGGUCCGCCCUCUGGGUGUGUAUCUGGCUCAGCCUGGGCAUCUUCUCGGUGAGCGGCUUCUCUUCACUGAGUUGUCGUGGGAUCCGGGACCUUUACUUUGAGGAAAUUAGAGUGUUUCAAGCAGGCGAUUCGCCUUGAAUACAUUAGCAUGGAAUAAUAACAUAGGACUUCGGUUCUAUUUUGUUGGUUUCUAGAGCUGAAGUAAUGAUUAAUAGGGACAGUUGGGGGCAUUCGUAUUGAACUGUCAGAGGUGAAAUUCUUGGAUUUGUUCAAGACGGACUACUGCGAAAGCAUUUGCCAAGGAUGUUUUCAUUGA
RNAcentral lists this ribosomal RNA (380 nucleotides) under uncultured eukaryote. RNAcentral's name for it is "partial 18S ribosomal RNA". It matches the Rfam family "Eukaryotic small subunit ribosomal RNA", at positions 592 to 976 of the family's 1831-position model. The record is from RNAcentral.